This 700-nucleotide ribosomal RNA is filed under the name uncultured bacterium. Its description in RNAcentral is "bacterial SSU rRNA". It matches the Rfam family "Bacterial small subunit ribosomal RNA", at positions 57 to 753 of the family's 1533-position model. The record is from RNAcentral.
GCAGUCGAGCGGGGGAGGUAGCUUGCUACCGGACCUAGCGGCGGAUGGGUGAGUAAUGCUUAGGAAUCUGCCUAUUAGUGGGGGACAACAUCUCGAAAGAGAUGCUAAUACCGCAUACGUCCUACGGGAGAAAGCAGGGGAUCUUCGGACCUUGCGCUUAUAGAUGAGCCUAAGUCGGAUUAGCUAGUUGGUGGGGUAAAGACCUACCAAGGCGACGAUCUGUAGCGGGUCUGAGAGGAUGAUCCGCCACACUGGGACUGAGACACGGCCCAGACUCCUACGGGAGGCAGCAGUGGGGAAUAUUGGACAAUGGGGGGAACCCUGAUCCAGCCAUGCCGCGUGUGUGAAGAAGGCCUUAUGGUUGUAAAGCACUUUAAGCGAGGAGGAGGCUACUUUAGUUAAUACCUAGAGAUAGUGGACGUUACUCGCAGAAUAAGCACCGGCUAACUCUGUGCCAGCAGCCGCGGUAAUACAGAGGGUGCGAGCGUUAAUCGGAUUUACUGGGCGUAAAGCGUGCGUAGGCGGCUUAUUAAGUCGGAUGUGAAAUCCCCGAGCUUAACUUGGGAAUUGCAUUCGAUACUGGUGAGCUAGAGUAUGGGAGAGGAUGGUAGAAUUCCAGGUGUAGCGGUGAAAUGCGUAGAGAUCUGGAGGAAUACCGAUGGCGAAGGCAGCCAUCUGGCCUAAUACUGACGCUGAGGUA